RNAcentral lists this transfer RNA (900 nucleotides) under uncultured cyanobacterium. RNAcentral's name for it is "partial contains 16S ribosomal RNA, 16S-23S ribosomal RNA intergenic spacer, and 23S ribosomal RNA". The stretch from base 313 to 385 matches the Rfam family "tRNA". The record is from RNAcentral. Lineage: Bacteria; Bacillati; Cyanobacteriota.
UGGAUCACCUCCUAACAGGGAGACAGACUGAUCGUGAUGUCUGAGUCAUUUUAAUCUCAGGCCAUGAUCCUGUCAUCUCGAAGGUCGAUCGGUACCUCAAGUUGAGAGCGAGCAGUGAAGCAGGAUUCAAUCAAUGGAUCGCUGCUGCUGUGAGGUUAUCAAUUUCAGUUCCUAAACUUUGUCUAGGUCACCCCAAAGCUCCUGGGCCAUUAGCUCAGGUGGUUAGAGCGCACCCCUGAUAAGGGUGAGGUCCCUGGUUCAAGUCCAGGAUGGCCCAUUCACAGCCUGCUCAGCAGGCAGGACUUGACAGCUGGGGGUUUAGCUCAGUUGGUAGAGCGCCUGCUUUGCAAGCAGGAUGUCAGCGGUUCGAGUCCGCUAACCUCCAUAUCAACGCGAACCCACAAGCGAAAGCAAGUGAGCUAAAUGGGAGUGAUCAAGAAGGGAAGGAGAGGAGCUGAGGAUGACUCCAGCCUUCAGGAUUCAAGAGAGUGAUGCGUCGCUGAGGCGCGAGCACGCUUGAGUGUUGAAUGCUGGACUCACACCUGUGAACGGACGUUGACAGGUGAGAUGUUCAGCGAAGAACCUUGACAACUGCAUAGGUGAGUCUGGAAAAAAAGCAUCUCAUGGAUGUCCAGCGAGAGCUGGCGUUCUAUUGAGUUUAGAGCCGAGACUUUCCAGUGUCUUCCAAGGCCUGAGCAAUCCACUCAGGUGGCGGGAGUUUGAUGGUGGCAUUCAGCGAGGAACCCAGCCGAGACAAGAAUCCGAGAGGGUGAUUGAAUUGGCGGGUGAGGAGGUGAAUCCAGCAGAAGCAGCCUCAACAGCUGCGUAGCACUGGGAAGGAUAUUGGUCAAGCUACAAAGGGCUCACGGUGGAUACCUUGGCACACAGAGGCGAUGAAGG